Molecule: long non-coding RNA, 189 nt
Organism: Telopea speciosissima
Lineage: Eukaryota; Viridiplantae; Streptophyta; Magnoliopsida; Proteales; Proteaceae
Exons: 3
Source: RefSeq, a predicted model, not a curated record
CGUGUGAUUUGAGGAUGACGAAUUAGCGGAUCCACUCGUUUUCUUCCUUGCCGCCCUUAGUCCAGUGGAAACCUCCCCCCCUUUUUUUGGUUUUUUAGGAAGCGUUGCAACAAAAAAAGAGGUAUUUCAAAUUUGACAUGCGGCCUGGGACCUAAUUCUAAUAAGUAUCUUUCUUAUUGGAACUUCAAA